Molecule: transfer RNA, 72 nt
Filed under: Ovis aries (sheep)
Lineage: Eukaryota; Metazoa; Chordata; Mammalia; Artiodactyla; Bovidae
Rfam family: tRNA
About the family: Transfer RNA (tRNA) molecules are approximately 80 nucleotides in length. Their secondary structure includes four short double-helical elements and three loops (D, anti-codon, and T loops).
Source: Rfam by way of RNAcentral
UCCCUGGUAGCUCAGUUGGUAAAGAAUCUGCCUGUAAUUCAGGAGACCCAGGUUCGAUCCCUGGGUGGGAAA